AACGAACGUUGGCGGCGUGCUUAACACAUGCAAGUCGAGCGCGAAUCCUUGCUUCGGCGAGGUAGUAGAGCGGCGAACGGGUGAGUAACACGUGAGUAAUCUACCUUCAAGUUUGGGAUAACGACCCGAAAGGGUUGCUAAUACUGGAUAAGACCACAACGCCCCUGGGCGGAUGUGAGAAAAGGACUUCGGUCGCUUGAAGAUGAGCUCGCGUCCCAUUAGCUAGUUGGUGAGGUAAUGGCUCACCAAGGCGUUCGAUGGGUAGGCUGGUUUUAGUAGGAUGAUCAGCCACACUGGAAC
Molecule: ribosomal RNA, 300 nt
Filed under: uncultured bacterium
Lineage: Bacteria
Description: bacterial SSU rRNA
Rfam family: Bacterial small subunit ribosomal RNA
Source: RNAcentral